Molecule: ribosomal RNA, 225 nt
Filed under: uncultured bacterium
Lineage: Bacteria
Description: partial 16S ribosomal RNA
Rfam family: Bacterial small subunit ribosomal RNA
Source: RNAcentral
CAACUGGGGAACCUGCCCGAUGACCGGGACAACCCGAGGAAACUCGGGCUAAUACCGGAUGAGCUCACGCCACAUCAGUGGCAUGAGGAAAGGAAGCUUCGGCCUCCGCAUUGGGAUGGGCCCGCGGCCCAUUAGCUUGUUGGUGGGGUAAAGGCCUACCAAGGCUUCGAUGGGUAGCUGGUCUGAGAGGACGAUCAGCCACACUGGGACUGAGACACGGCCCAG